UUUCCGUAGGUGAACCUGCGGAAGGAUCAUUAUUGUAUAACCGAGGUGCGAGGGCUGUCGCUGACCCGAAAGGUCGUGCACGCCCGAGUGCCCUCACACACAUCCACCUCACCCUUAUGUGUGCCACCGCGUGGGUCCCCCUUUGGCUUGUUCGGAGGGGGGCUUACGUUUUCACACAAACUUUGUAUGCAGUGUAGAAUGUAUUUUUUGUUUUUGCGAUCACGCAAUCAAUACAACUUUCAACAACGGAUCUCUUGGCUCUC
This 263-nucleotide unclassified non-coding RNA is filed under the name plant metagenome. RNAcentral's name for it is "partial contains small subunit ribosomal RNA, internal transcribed spacer 1, and 5.8S ribosomal RNA". The record is from RNAcentral.